Molecule: long non-coding RNA, 840 nt
Organism: Xyrauchen texanus (razorback sucker)
Lineage: Eukaryota; Metazoa; Chordata; Actinopteri; Cypriniformes; Catostomidae
Exons: 3
Source: RefSeq, a predicted model, not a curated record
CUCUCUCUCUCUAUGGCUCUGGUUUAGAUAAGCCAGCUCAGGCAUUUCCGGUCAACUGUCAUUCCUGAAGAUGUUCCGCGCUGCCUGCAGGAUCUACCUCGAGUCAACACAAAUGAUGAUUUACACCGCCUGAUUCAUUCAAAUUCAAAGACUUCAUCAAGCAAACGUGAAAAGGGAUGUAUUAUAUCCAGCUAUAUCCAUGACUACGAAGGUUGUUCUCAAAGACUCUAAACCCGUUGAGCUGUUGACCUGUCAUUCCUCAUGUGUGGCAGGGCUUGCACUAUGCAAUCAUGUUGCAGAUUUGCUCUACCAGACCUCACAUUACAGCCAGCAGGGAGUAACAGCUGUCCCCCCUACUCACAGCUGCACAGGGUCUGAGCUGCAGUGGCACAAACCUAGACCCCAGGAGUAACUUUUACAACGGGGCCUGUGACUGGACCUGUGACCUUCCAGACAUGUCAGUUCUGCGUGUGAAUGAGAUUUACAGAGGAAUGCCAAGGGAAACUGCUCCACCCACAACAACAAUGGGAAUAGCAUUUAUUAAAUGGGUUAUUCAAAGAACAUUCAGAGACGGGAGAGUCAUAAAAACAAUCAAACAAAAGGUUGAUUACUUUUACCUACCUAUGCUUUUGGCUUGUCAAUUUCCAUGGUUAACUUUCAAUCAGUUUUUUUUUACAAAGUUCAAAUAGUUUGGUUUUCAUUACAUUUCUGAGCAGUUUUCAUGUGCUCAUUAUUGUCAUCUGCCACAAAUAUAUUCUAAUAGAAUAGAAUUCUAGUAUACUAUGUAUACAAAUUAUGUUAUGUAGUUGAACAUGUCAUCAUUAAUUUAUUAAAUUACAU